AUUGAACGCUGGCGGCAGGCCUAACACAUGCAAGUCGAGCGGAUGAAGGGAGCUUGCUCCUGGAUUCAGCGGCGGACGGGUGAGUAAUGCCUAGGAAUCUGCCUGGUAGUGGGGGAUAACGUCCGGAAACGGGCGCUAAUACCGCAUACGUCCUGAGGGAGAAAGUGGGGGAUCUUCGGACCUCACGCUAUCAGAUGAGCCUAGGCCGGAUUAGCUAGUUGGUGGGGUAAAGGCCUACCAAGGCGACGAUCCGUAACUGGUCUGAGAGGAUGAUCAGUCACACUGGAACUGAGACACGGUCCAGACUCCUACGGGAGGCCGCGGUGGGGAAUAUUGGACAAAGGGCGAAAGCCUGAUCCAGCCAUGCCGCGUGUGUGAAGAAGGUCUUCGGAUUGUAAAGCACUUUAAGUUGGGAGGAAGGGCAGUAAGUUAAUACCUUGCUGUUUUGACGUUACCAACAGAAUAAGCACCGGCUAACUUCGUG
Molecule: ribosomal RNA, 484 nt
Filed under: uncultured bacterium
Lineage: Bacteria
Description: partial 16S ribosomal RNA
Rfam family: Bacterial small subunit ribosomal RNA
Source: RNAcentral